AUACCCCCGCUACGCUCCGAAUUUAAAAAAAAGUCUUUUGGGGAAAAUUCAACUUUAGUGACGGAGUGCUGCUGCUCAUUUAAAUAACAUAAUACAUGUGUAAGUUCAUAUAGUUUUAAACGCGAAACAUUGUAAUACCCGUGUUUCCGGUAUCGAUUUGAAUAAAAAAAUUUUAUAUGUAUUUUAAAGCGUCGAAAUAAUAUAGAUAAGCAGAGAAAUUUGAAUUCUUAUUAGUUAUAUUGUUGUCUUGUAUUUUAUGAUAAAAUUCGACGAUCUGAGGACCAGGCACCGAUGCGGGGUUCGGGGAUUGAAAAUAAUUUUCUACUGAAUGGUAU
This is a non-coding RNA of Cinara cedri, 335 nucleotides long. Lineage: Eukaryota; Metazoa; Arthropoda; Insecta; Hemiptera; Aphididae. The record is from the annotation of a GenBank genome assembly.